This 328-nucleotide ribosomal RNA is filed under the name uncultured Bacteroidota bacterium. Its description in RNAcentral is "bacterial SSU rRNA". It matches the Rfam family "Bacterial small subunit ribosomal RNA", at positions 28 to 351 of the family's 1533-position model. Lineage: Bacteria; Pseudomonadati; Bacteroidota. The record is from RNAcentral.
GAUGAACGCUAGCGGGAGGCUUAACACAUGCAAGUCGAGGGGCAGCAUGAUGUAGCAAUACAUUGAUGGCGACCGGCAGACGGGUGAGUAACACGUAUGUAACCUACCCUGUACAGGGGGAUAACCCGGAGAAAUUCGGACUAAUACCCCAUAAAGAUAUGAGAUGGCAUCAUUUUAUAUUUAAAGUUCCGGCGGUACGGGAUGGGCAUGCGUAACAUUAGCUAGUUGGUAAGGUAACGGCUUACCAAGGCUGCGAUGUUUAGGGGUCCUGAGAGGGUGAUCCCCCACACUGGUACUGAGACACGGACCAGACUCCUACGGGAGGCUG